GUGGGAUUCCCAAGGUCUAAGCCCUUGGGGGUAGGGGUGAUCAUAUCUAGUCCUGCCCCUUCCGGUCCCAGGGCUCUUUGGACAAGGCGGCCUUGGCGCUACAAAUAAUAUAAGGAAAAGGAAUGUUGAAAAAGCCCUUGAGAAUAAAUAAAUAAGGAAGGAAGGACAGGAGGGAGGAACCGUCCGGGAGCCGCGGGCGUCUGCCUCCCCCUGCCCGGUCGCCGCCGACGGAAGGCGGGUGGCUCCCCCUAGCGCCGAGUGACAGCUCGCUCUCUAGUGGGACGUGGGCGGGGGCUGCCCGCAGGUCUCUGUGGCGCAAUCGGUUAGCGCGCUCGGCUGUUAACCGAGAGGUUGGUGGUUCGAGCCCACCCAGGGACGAGGCGGCCUUUUUAGAACCUAGAAAACGUCCUUUGGCGGGGGCACCACCGGAGGGCUGACGCCGAGGCCGAGGCCGAGGCCGAGGCCGGCCAUAAGGCCAUCGCGGACUCUGGAGGAGGAAAACCCAUGGCUGAGAAUCCGGAAAUCCUCGAAGGGCUGCAACCCUCUAAAUGCCUUUUAACAGUGCAGUUGCUGCCAUCCUUUGUCCCUUUCCUUAUACUCUUUCCGGUAAGUUGGUCCUAGGUGUUUAUGGUUACAGAUAACGGCUGUCAUCCUCGUUCUCGUGCACAUAUUUUUGGCCACCUGACAAAUAUUUCUGCAGGGUAGAGGCCCGGAAGAGCAAUUACUCUAACAUAGUCUUUCCACGGUUCCUAUAUCAUCCAAUUUGUUUUUCCCUGUUGACGGGUUAGUUAUAACUCUUUCUUUUGUUAUUUCAGCGACCGCUUCAGGCUUCAUAGCAGCACACACCUGUAACUUACCAGCCUCCCUCCAAGCCAUCUCCUACCUCUUCACAUUCCUCCAAUUUAAUAUCAUUGGAAGAACUUAAAGAUGACACUAGACCUUGAAAUUGCAGAUUGACUUGACAAAUGAUGGAGAAAUGCAUGUUCGGAUUUAUAUAAGAUACCUUAAAAGGUUUACCCGCCGUCCCCACCCCCACCCCCAAACUGUAAGAAUAACAAGUCAGUAUGAUGGCCAGAAUUAUAAGACUUAAUCUCCAUUAAAUUUUAUCAUAUAUGUAACUUACUGAAAUACAUACUUUGGUAUCGUAUAAGCUCUUAAAUAGUAUUGGAAGGAAAGCGUGUUCGUUAGACCAGUAGAGUAAAUUUAGGCAGCUAAGUGUCCCUAGGAGUUUGAAAAGAAAAUAAGCCCAAGACUUGUAUAAACUACAAUACUAUCUACCAAUAUUUUCUGCAUUAUUAGUAAAUCUAGAAGGCAACAUAAAGCAGUUUUUAGAUCAAAAUCAUCAAACCAAUCUGAUGCACACUAGGAGUCCUUUUAUGAAAUAUGACAUGAUAUAUACAUCUUCUGUGCCAUUAUAUAGAAAAUAUUAAAAUCCUUUGAAGUGUUUAAGUAUUUGAGAUUCAUCCUUACUGUCCACCUGAUUUUCUGUUCUUGUACCUAGCACUGAGACGACUCAUUUAUCUACAGCUAAACUAUUUCUUGGUUUUGUUUUUGUUUCCUUCCCUGAGUCACAGAUUCAGCGGGAAAGGAAAUGUGAGGGGCACCUGGCUAGCUCACUUGGUAGAGCAUGGGACUCUUCACUCUUGAUCUCAGGACUGUGAGCUCUAGCUGACACACCUUGGGUGUAGUGAUUACUUAAAUAUAACACCAGAAGAAAGUAAGAAAGAGAGAAAGAAAGAGAGGGAUAGAAAGAAGGAGAAGGAAGAAAACAAGGAAGGAAGGAAGGAAGGAAGGAAGGAAGGAAGGAAGGAAGGAAGGAAACCCCAUCAAUAGCAUCUUUGGACCCCCAGUGGGGGUCCGAGAAAUAGAAGCUCCGUCACUACCCCACUUUGGGGAGAGGCACAAUUGAAUACACACCUCAAAUCAGGUUGCCUGUGUCUGUUUGGACUCAGACUGGAGCUGGGACCAACUCAAGGCCAGGACAAGACUAAGCCCCAUCAUCACAGGGCAGCCACCUACCUGACAGCACCAAUGCAGAUAAUUCCAGAAAGCUCUUGAAAACUUUUCCCUUCCCUUUGGAGAAUUUUCCACCUGCUCCCUUCCCCCUCCCACCCCAGGAAAGGAUUCUUCAACUUUGGCUGGGCCAGGACCCUCUAAGAUCCCUGUAGGGAAGAGAGAGCCAGGAGGGCAGGAGCCAAGGGGGCAGCUGCACUUCCCUGAAGGGUCUCUCCCCGGGGUGGGAAGGUUCUAGAGCUCAGGCUGACCCUAGACCCACUGCCC
RNAcentral lists this transfer RNA (2280 nucleotides) under Canis lupus familiaris (dog). RNAcentral describes it as "lncRNA (ENSCAFG00030004362.1)". The stretch from base 305 to 378 matches the Rfam family "tRNA". Lineage: Eukaryota; Metazoa; Chordata; Mammalia; Carnivora; Canidae. The record is from RNAcentral.